AAUAUAUCUGGAGUUCAGCCAUUCAGGCACUCAUAGGCCACUAAGGCCAUGGUCCAAGGGGCCAGGUUAAUGCUCAAGCUGGUGGUAGACCUUGGUAUCAUUCACAUGGUGCUGGUUUUUCAGUCAUGCAGAAUGCAAGAGUUGUGAGGUCAUGGAGGCUUCCAGCCAGAUUUCAGAAGAAGGCUUGGGAGGCCAGGCAGUGUGUCCCUGAGAGGGCGAUGUGCAAAGCUAUGAGAGUGAAGGCAAAAGAGCAAUGGAGACUCCCAAGAAGUUGGAGAUGCCCGGAACAUGAGAUAUCUGCCAAAGAAAACUAGGAAGCAAGGAGAGCCAGCCUGAGAGAGGGCAUGGAUUGAACUCAGGACCUUGUGCUUGCCAGGAAGCCACCAGCACCACUGAGCUAAAUCCCCGGCCCGGAGUGAACAGUGGAGAACGAAAUGUACUUCUGCCUUACCAAACCUGUGGCCCUUGAAGGGCAAUGCUUUCUAUCUGGUCCAAAACAUUUUUCUGGGGCCUUCUCUCAGCUACCACAUCCCAUCCACUCCCCUUGGCAUGUGGCUCCUUCCAUCUUCGGUCCUGCGGUGGUGAAAUGAACUCUUGUCAUGCUCUGGAUCUUGAAAUUUUUCUUCUGCCACAAGCCAGAGAAAACUCACAGCUUUUAAAGCUUUCAGGAAUUGCUGGAGCCUGCAGAGCACAAUUUGAAAAACAUUGAGCUCAUCUUCCUCAUCC
Molecule: long non-coding RNA, 726 nt
Filed under: Heterocephalus glaber (naked mole-rat)
Lineage: Eukaryota; Metazoa; Chordata; Mammalia; Rodentia; Bathyergidae
Description: lncRNA (ENSHGLG00000044570.1)
Source: RNAcentral